UGAGGAAUAUUGGUCAAUGGAGGAAACUCUGAACCAGCCAUCCCGCGUGAAGGAUGAAUGCCCUAGUGGUUGUAAACUUCUUUUAUAUGGGAAUAAACCUGAGUACGUGUACUCAGCUGAAGGUACCAUACGAAUAAGCAUCGGCUAACUCCGUGCCAGCAGCCGCGGUAAUACGGAGGAUGCAAGCGUUAUCCGGAUUUAUUGGGUUUAAAGGGUCCGUAGGCGGACUAUUAAGUCAGUGGUGAAAGUCUGCAGCUUAACUGUAGAAUUGCCAUUGAUACUGAUAGUCUUGAGUGUAGUUGAAGUGGGCGGAAUAUGACAUGUAGCGGUGAAAUGCAUAGAGAUGUCAUAGAACACCGAUUGCGAAGGCAGCUCACUAAACUAUUACUGACGCUCAGGGACGAAAGCGUGGGUAGCGAACAGG
RNAcentral lists this ribosomal RNA (424 nucleotides) under uncultured bacterium. Its description in RNAcentral is "bacterial SSU rRNA". It matches the Rfam family "Bacterial small subunit ribosomal RNA", at positions 355 to 776 of the family's 1533-position model. The record is from RNAcentral.